GGGUGCUUGCACCUGGUGGCGAGUGGCGAACGGGUGAGUAAUACAUCGGAACAUGUCCUGUAGUGGGGGAUAGCCCGGCGAAAGCCGGAUUAAUACCGCAUACGAUCUACGGAUGAAAGCGGGGGACCUUCGGGCCUCGCGCUAUAGGGUUGGCCGAUGGCUGAUUAGCUAGUUGGUGGGGUAAAGGCCUACCAAGGCGACGAUCAGUAGCUGGUCUGAGAGGACGACCAGCCACACUGGGACUGAGACACGGCCCAGACUCCUACGGGAGGCAGCAGUGGGGAAUUUUGGACAAUGGGCGAAAGCCUGAUCCAGCAAUGCCGCGUGUGUGAAGAAGGCCUUCGGGUUGUAAAGCACUUUUGUCCGGAAAGAAAUCCUUGGUUCUAAUAUAGCCGGGGGAUGACGGUACCGGAAGAAUAAGCACCGGCUAACUACGUGCCAGCAGCCGCGGUAAUACGUAGGGUGCGAGCGUUAAUCGGAAUUACUGGGCGUAAAGCGUGCGCAGGCGGUUUGCUAAGACCGAUGUGAAAUCCCCGGGCUCAACCUGGGAACUGCAUUGGUGACUGGCAGGCUAGAGUAUGGCAGAGGGGGGUAGAAUUCCACGUGUAGCAGUGAAAUGCGUAGAGAUGUGGAGGAAUACCGAUGGCGAAGGCA
This 654-nucleotide ribosomal RNA is filed under the name uncultured beta proteobacterium. RNAcentral describes it as "bacterial SSU rRNA". It matches the Rfam family "Bacterial small subunit ribosomal RNA", at positions 74 to 723 of the family's 1533-position model. The record is from RNAcentral. Lineage: Bacteria; Pseudomonadati; Pseudomonadota; Betaproteobacteria.